GAUGAACGCUGGCGGCGUGCUUAACACAUGCAAGUCGAACGAAGCAUUUAGGACAGAUUACUUCGGUUUGAAGUUCUUUAUGACUGAGUGGCGGACGGGUGAGUAACGCGUGGGUAACCUGCCUUGUACUAGGGGAUAGCAGCUGGAAACGGCUGGUAAUACCGCAUAAGCGCACAAUGUUGCAUGACAUGGUGUGAAAAACUCCGGUGGUAUAAGAUGGACCCGCGUCUGAUUAGCUAGUUGGUGAGAUAACAGCCCACCAAGGCGACGAUCAGUAGCCGACCUGAGAGGGUGACCGGCCACAUUGGGACUGAGACACGGCCCAGACUCCUACGGGAGUCAGCAGUGGGGAAUAUUGCACAAUGGAGGAAACUCUGAUGCAGCGACGCCGCGUGAGUGAAGAAGUAAUUCGUUAUGUAAAGCUCUAUCAGCAGGGAAGAUAGUGACGGUACCUGACUAAGAAGCUCCGGCUAAAUACGUG
Molecule: ribosomal RNA, 481 nt
Filed under: uncultured bacterium
Lineage: Bacteria
Description: partial 16S ribosomal RNA
Rfam family: Bacterial small subunit ribosomal RNA
Source: RNAcentral